AUACGGAGGAUCCGAGCGUUAUCCGGAUUUAUUGGGGUUAAAGGGAGCGUAGGCGGAGGAUCAAGUCAGCUGUGAAAUGUAGACGCUCAACGUCUGCACUGCAGUUGAAACUGGUCACCUUGAGUGCAUAAGGGGCAGGCGGAAUUCGUCGUGUAGCGGUGCAAUGCUUAGAUAUGACGAAGAACUCCGAUCGCGAAGGCAGCUUGCCGGGCCGCAACUGACGCUGAAGCUCGAAGGUGCGGGUAUCGAACAGGAUUAGAUACCCUGGUAGUCCGCACAGUAAACGAUGGAUACUCGCUGUCGGCGAUAUACGGUCGGUGGCCAAGCGAAAGCGUUAAGUAUCCCACCUGGGGAGUACGCCGGCAACGGUGAAACUCAAAGGAAUUGACGGGG
This 393-nucleotide ribosomal RNA is filed under the name uncultured bacterium. RNAcentral describes it as "partial 16S ribosomal RNA". It matches the Rfam family "Bacterial small subunit ribosomal RNA", at positions 523 to 918 of the family's 1533-position model. The record is from RNAcentral.